This 270-nucleotide unclassified non-coding RNA is filed under the name uncultured fungus. RNAcentral's name for it is "partial contains small subunit ribosomal RNA, internal transcribed spacer 1, and 5.8S ribosomal RNA". The stretch from base 1 to 73 matches the Rfam family "Eukaryotic small subunit ribosomal RNA", at positions 1759 to 1831 of the family's 1831-position model. Lineage: Eukaryota; Fungi. The record is from RNAcentral.
ACAAACUUGGUCAUUUAGAGGAAGUAAAAGUCGUAACAAGGUCUCCGUUGGUGAACCAGCGGAGGGAUCAUUACCGAGUUUACAACUCCCAAACCCAUGUGAAUUUACCUUUACGUUCCCUCGGCGGCGUCCUCUCCCUCACGGGGGAAGUCCCGCCAGAGGACCAAACCAAACCCUGAAUUUUAUUAGUAUUAUUCUGAGUGAUUUAAAAAAUAAAUCAAAACUUUCAACAACGGAUCUCUUGGUUCUGGCAUCGAUGAAGAACGCAGC